RNAcentral lists this transfer RNA (87 nucleotides) under Clostridiales bacterium. RNAcentral's name for it is "tRNA-Leu". It matches the Rfam family "tRNA". From Rfam's summary of the family: Transfer RNA (tRNA) molecules are approximately 80 nucleotides in length. Their secondary structure includes four short double-helical elements and three loops (D, anti-codon, and T loops). Lineage: Bacteria; Bacillati; Bacillota; Clostridia; Eubacteriales. The record is from RNAcentral.
GCCGCUGUGACGGAAUAGGCAGACGUAACAGACUUAAAAUCUGUCGAGAGAAAUCUCAUACCGGUUCAAGUCCGGUCAGCGGUACCA